UAACGUCUAUUCAUAGGCAAACAAGGUUUGACAGGACAGGACGGGAUCUCAGUCCUCAUCCGGGUCGCACUCGGGGUUAUCCUCGGGGUCCUCCUCCACGUACUCCUCUUCGGGUUCCUCAUUAGGGUUUUCCUCGUCAGAUUCCUCCUCCUUAAGCUCCUCAUCAGGGUCCUGAAAUGGUUAUUCAAUAACCACUGAGACAACGUCUCAGCAAAUUCUACCCCCUAAGACCCGAUUAGUAAACUAAUACACCUUAGGGCUGCCUAUGCAUAACAUGAGUCAGAUGACUUACCUUAGCCUCAAAUUCCACCUGCAUAUUAGCACAAAUCAACUAGGCACACAAGCAAUCACAUCAUGGAUCGAAGCAUUGAUCUAAUCGACUUAGUCGAUUUCAUAUCAGGAAGACCACUCACGAUCAUCUCCCUUCAAUCAUUCAAUUCACAACAUCAAACCAAGGCAAUGAAUCACAUCAAGUCACACUCAGAUUGAAUCCUCGAUCAAUCGACCUAGUCGAUUACAAGCUAGCAAGACCACUCCCGGUCAUUUCCAAUCAAUCAAUUCACAACAUCAGAUUAAAGCAAUGAGUCACAUCUAAUCACACUCAGAUCGAAUCAUCGAUCAAUCGACCUAGUCGAUUACAUGCCAUCACGACCCAAGCUUGGUUGACACAUUUAAUACUAUCUAUAAGUUCGACCAUAGUCCAGGACUGCUCACUCUAAGCUGAUAUAUAGAUAGUAUAGCUCGCACUAAGCUGAUAGGGUUAAGGUAUACUGCUCUCGCUAAGCUGACAUAUCGCCCGUAGGCUGAUAUAGUAUACCGGUAUACUGCUCUCGCUGAGCUGACAUAUCGCCUGCAAGCUGAUAUAGUAUACCCCCGAUGCUCACACCGAGCUGAUAAAGUGUACUGCUCGCGCUAAGCUGACAUAUCGCCCGUAGGCUGAUAUAGUAUACCAGUAUACUGCUCUCGCUAAGCUGACAUAUCAGAGCCCAUAGGAUGAUAUAGUAUACUAUCCGACCAUUCAAUCCAUUCCAUCUGUUAUCCUUCUCGAUAAAAUAGCCGUGUGUGGGGACACGGUCGGCCUUAGCCAAAAUAUAAUAUUUUCCUUUCCAUAACUCCCACAUUUUCUGUAGUCCACCAAAACAUUUUUAGUGCUGUCAACCGACACCCGGUUAUUUUCCAAUUAUUAAUCAAAGAUUAUUCCAUGAAAGAAUAAUUCCCAAUUUCACAAAUAAUUCAAUUCAGCACAAAAUAAAGCUCAAUUAAAUAAAUGAACUGCGCCAUGACAAUCAGCACCAAAUUCCAGUCGCUAGCCAUCCCAGUUGAAUUUUCGGAAAAUAAAUAAUUAAACAACUAAUUUCGAAAAUUAAAUAAAUACAUACAAUAAAUUUGAUUUAGCAUAAUAUAAAGCUCAAUUAAAUAAACGGACUACACCAUGAUCAUCAGCAUAAAAUUUCGGUCACUGGCCAUCCCAACCUUAAUUUCCGAAAAUAAAUAAAUAAUUAAUUAAUUUCGAGAAUUAAAUAAUUAAUAUUAAAAACUCAAUUUAGCUCAAAAUAAAGCCCGAUUAAAUAAACGGACUUCACCACGGUCAUCAGCAUAAUAUUCCGGUUCCGGACCAUCUCAGUUGAAUUUUCGGAAAAUAAAUAAUUAUUUAAUUUAAUUCCGAAAAUUAAUAUUUAAAAUACCAAAAAUCUCACUUAUGCCCGAAUUGCCUAAUUAACACCCGAUAAGGGACGGGAAAAAUCCCAAGAAGCAUCCAAUAAAUACUACAAGCAAUUCUCUAUAUAAUUACACUAAUCACACAACUAAAAUGCAAAACAAUUAACUAAUAAUCACUAAUCAAUUCUAAUCUAACAACCUAAUUACACUUAAUUAACACUAAUCAACCUUUAAGUAUAAUUAGCGUACUAAGAAGGCAUUAGUGAGUAAAACUCACUUGAUUAAAGAUCCGCUCGGAUCAAAUUGACUAGCACGCGACGAGUGCCGAUAAACCUCAAAGCAGGACUCCCAAGCGGGGCCAAACCCGGGGCUGAAUCGGCCUACAAGCUCGCUGUUCGAGUUGGGUAUUCUGCUCCCGAGCUUCUGACCUUGCUGAAUCGGUUCUGCAGGGAUGAAAUCAGUGGCUGAAUGGACACGGUUUGACUGGAUUCGGUGGCCGCAGUGAUGGAACGACCAGCAACCGGGCUGAGUUGCAGCUGCGGGGCUUGCGGGACGUGAGGUCUCUCGAAGGAAUCCUUUUCGUCGCUGCUGGAGUUAACCAUGAGAAGAAGUCGCUGAUUUGCUGACCGAAUGAAAUACGUGGGUGAGCUACAGGGAAGAAAAUUCUCGGUGGGGAUGAGGCAUGCGUGAGUGCGGCAUGGCAGAGAAGAAGAGGAAUCGUGGGGCUGCUUCUGCGGGUUUGCUUCCGUCCAAGCAAAUUAAAGAAAGCAGAAGACGUGAGGGAGUAGGGUUCAGCUGCCCUGGCGUGGGAAGCAAGUGAAGAAAAGAUAAAAGAGAAGACCGGUCAAAGGAAAAGAAGGAAUUGAAGACUGCAGGGGGGUUUCGUGCGAGA
Molecule: long non-coding RNA, 2551 nt
Filed under: Eucalyptus grandis
Lineage: Eukaryota; Viridiplantae; Streptophyta; Magnoliopsida; Myrtales; Myrtaceae
Description: long non-coding RNA (EGRA_LNC000542)
Source: RNAcentral